GGCCUAACACAUGCAAGUCGAGCGGUAGCACAGAGAGCUUGCUCUCGGGUGACGAGCGGCGGACGGGUGAGUAAUGUCUGGGAAACUGCCUGAUGGAGGGGGAUAACUACUGGAAACGGUAGCUAAUACCGCAUAAUGUCGCAAGACCAAAGUGGGGGACCUUCGGGCCUCAUGCCAUCAGAUGUGCCCAGAUGGGAUUAGCUAGUAGGUGGGGUAACGGCUCACCUAGGCGACGAUCCCUAGCUGGUCUGAGAGGAUGACCAGCCACACUGGAACUGAGACACGGUCCAGACUCCUACGGGAGGCAGCAGUGGGGAAUAUUGCACAAUGGGCGCAAGCCUGAUGCAGCCAUGCCGCGUGUGUGAAGAAGGCCUUCGGGUUGUAAAGCACUUUCAGCGGGGAGGAAGGCGGUGAGGUUAAUAACCUUGUCGAUUGACGUUACCCGCAGAAGAAGCACCGGCUAACUCCGUGCCAGCAGCCGCGGUAAUACGGAGGGUGCAAGCGUUAAUCGGAAUUACUGGGCGUAAAGCGCACGCAGGCGGUCUGUCAAGUCGGAUGUGAAAUCCCCGGGCUCAACCUGGGAACUGCAUUCGAAACUGGCAGGCUAGAGUCUUGUAGAGGGGGGUAGAAUUCCAGGUGUAGCGGUGAAAUGCGUAGAGAUCUGGAGGAAUACCGGUGGCGAAGGCGGCCCCCUGGACAAAGACUGACGCUCAGGUGCGAAAGCGUGGGGAGCAAACAGGAUUAGAUACCCUGGUAGUCCACGCCGUAAACGAUGUCGAUUUGGAGGUUGUGCCCUUGAGGCGUGGCUUCCGGAGCUAACGCGUUAAAUCGACCGCCUGGGGAGUACGGCCGCAAGGUUAAAACUCAAAUGAAUUGACGGGGGCCCGCACAAGCGGUGGAGCAUGUGGUUUAAUUCGAUGCAACGCGAAGAACCUUACCUGGUCUUGACAUCCACAGAACUUUCCAGAGAUGGAUUGGUGCCUUCGGGAACUGUGAGACAGGUGCUGCAUGGCUGUCGUCAGCUCGUGUUGUGAAAUGUUGGGUUAAGUCCCGCAACGAGCGCAACCCUUAUCCUUUGUUGCCAGCGGUUAGGCCGGGAACUCAAAGGAGACUGCCAGUGAUAAACUGGAGGAAGGUGGGGAUGACGUCAAGUCAUCAUGGCCCUUACGACCAGGGCUACACACGUGCUACAAUGGCAUAUACAAAGAGAAGCGACCUCGCGAGAGCAAGCGGACCUCAUAAAGUAUGUCGUAGUCCGGAUUGGAGUCUGCAACUCGACUCCAUGAAGUCGGAAUCGCUAGUAAUCGUAGAUCAGAAUGCUACGGUGAAUACGUUCCCGGGCCUUGUACACACCGCCCGUCACACCAUGGGAGUGGGUUGCAAAAGAAGUAGGUAGCUUAACCUUCGGGAGGGCGUACCACAUUGUGA
RNAcentral lists this ribosomal RNA (1428 nucleotides) under Klebsiella sp. RNAcentral describes it as "bacterial SSU rRNA". It matches the Rfam family "Bacterial small subunit ribosomal RNA". Lineage: Bacteria; Pseudomonadati; Pseudomonadota; Gammaproteobacteria; Enterobacterales; Enterobacteriaceae. The record is from RNAcentral.